Neofelis nebulosa (Clouded leopard) is the source of this 613-nucleotide long non-coding RNA. RefSeq lists it as uncharacterized. Lineage: Eukaryota; Metazoa; Chordata; Mammalia; Carnivora; Felidae. The record is from RefSeq and is a predicted model, not a curated record. The transcript is spliced from 3 exons.
AGUUUGUUUGGGGGUUGGGGGGCUGACUUUGCUUAGGGGGCAAUGGUUACGGCCUACAGGUUCUCUCUCUUGCCCUGGAGUUUGAGCUUCCGGGCCCCCUCCAUCCCAGUCCUAUUAGCCAAGAGGCCGCGGAUCUAUAAUAGGCUCUUACAGGGAGGACUGUUCUGCGGAGCGCUCCGAACGGACAAACCACAAUAAAAAGUUCACGUUCAUGGAUGGAAUCCACAUGACUUCUUGUGGCCAAUCCAACUUGAAGAGAACUACAUCCUUCCCAGUGGGGAGCCCAGGCAGCCCCCCACUCCACCCUAAACGGGAACAGGAGACACACGCCGCUGGAAACCUCCUAGCCAAGCCUGACCUGGCCGUGUUCUGACGAGCGGAGAGGGUUUAGACCCAUACUGGGCAGCCCUGCGGAGGCAGCAGGAGGGGUGAGAGUUGGGGGCGGCCUCCAGAACCCCCAAAGAGCCCGUCAUCCUCAGGCUCCUUUCUCAGAGAAAAUGACAUUUUUCCUUCUCCAAGACUAUCCCUGGUGUCAAGUCUCCUCAAUUCCUAGGUUCAGAGGGCAGCUUAUUCCCAAUCUUUUUAGAAUUGAAAAUAAAAUGAAGGUCCAAGA